RNAcentral lists this ribosomal RNA (468 nucleotides) under uncultured bacterium. RNAcentral's name for it is "partial 16S ribosomal RNA". It matches the Rfam family "Bacterial small subunit ribosomal RNA", at positions 29 to 507 of the family's 1533-position model. The record is from RNAcentral.
UACGAACGCUGGCGGCAUGCUUAACACAUGCAAGUCGAACGGAAAGGCCCUGCUUUUGUGGGGUGCUCGAGUGGCGAACGGGUGAGUAACACGUGAGUAACCUGCCCUUGACUUUGGGAUAACUUCAGGAAACUGGGGCUAAUACCGGAUAGGAGCUCCUGCUGCAUGGUGGGGGUUGGAAAGUUUCGGCGGUUGGGGAUGGACUCGCGGCUUAUCAGCUUGUUGGUGGGGUAGUGGCUUACCAAGGCUUUGACGGGUAGCCGGCCUGAGAGGGUGACCGGCCACAUUGGGACUGAGAUACGGCCCAGACUCCUACGGGAGGCAGCAGUGGGGAAUAUUGCACAAUGGGCGGAAGCCUGAUGCAGCAACGCCGCGUGCGGGAUGACGGCCUUCGGGUUGUAAACCGCUUUCGCCUGUGACGAAGCGUGAGUGACGGUAAUGGGUAAAGAAGCACCGGCUAACUACGUG